This 1121-nucleotide ribosomal RNA is filed under the name uncultured archaeon. Its description in RNAcentral is "bacterial SSU rRNA". It matches the Rfam family "Archaeal small subunit ribosomal RNA", at positions 326 to 1448 of the family's 1478-position model. The record is from RNAcentral.
UGGGGCGCAGCAGGCGAGAAAACUUUGCAAUGUGCGAAAGCACGACAAGGUUAAUCCGAGUGGUUUCUGCUAAAGGAACCUUUUGUCAGUCCUAGAAACACUGAUGAAUAAGGGGUGGGCAAGUUCUGGUGUCAGCCGCCGCGGUAAAACCAGCACCUCAAGCGGUCAGGAUGAUUAUUGGGCCUAAAGCAUCCGUAGCCGGCUCUGUAAGUUUUCGGUUAAAUCUGUACGCUCAACGUACAGGCUGCCGGGAAUACUGCAGAGCUAGGGAGUGGGAGAGGUAGACGGUACUCGGUAGGAAGGGGUAAAAUCCUUUGAUCUAUUGAUGACCACCUGUGGCGAAGGCGGUCUACCAGAACACGUCCGACGGUGAGGGAUGAAAGCUGGGGGAGCAAACCGGAUUAGAUACCCGGGUAGUCCCAGCUGUAAACUAUGCAAACUCAGUGAUGCAUUGGCUUGUGGCCAAUGCAGUGCUGCAGGGAAGCCGUUAAGUUUGCCGCCUGGGAAGUACGUACGCAAGUAUGAAACUUAAAGGAAUUGGCGGGGGAGCACCACAAGGGGUGAAGCCUGCGGUUCAAUUGGAGUCAACGCCAGAAAUCUUACCCGGAGAGACAGCAGAAUGAAGGUCAAGCUGAAGACUUUACCAGACAAGCUGAGAGGUGGUGCAUGGCCGUCGCCAGCUCGUGCCGUGAGAUGUCCUGUUAAGUCAGGUAACGAGCGAGAUCCCUGCCUCUAGUUGCCACCAUUACUCUCAGGAGUAGUGGGGCGAAUUAGCGGGACCGCCGCAGUUAAUGCGGAGGAAGGAAGGGGCCACGGCAGGUCAGUAUGCCCCGAAACUCUGGGGCCACACGCGGGCUGCAAUGGUAAUGACAAUGGGUUCCAAAUCCGAAAGGAGGAGGUAAUCCUCAAACAUUACCACAGUUAUGACUGAGGGCUGCAACUCGCCCUCACGAAUAUGGAAUCCCUAGUAACUGCGUGUCAUUAUCGCGCGGUGAAUACGUCCCUGCUCCUUGCACACACCGCCCGUCGUUUCAUUGAAGUGAGCUUUUAGCGAGGUGACGUCUGAUUGGCGUUAUCGAACUUGAGGUUCGUGACAAGGGAAAAGUCGUAACAAGGUAACC